CGGUUAAGUUAGAAAGGGCGCACGGUGGAUGCCUUGGCACUAGGAGCCGAUGAAGGACGGGACGAACACCGAUAUGCUUCGGGGAGCUGUAAGCAAGCUUUGAUCCGGAGAUUUCCGAAUGGGGAAACCCACCACUCGUAAUGGAGUGGUAUCCAUAUCUGAAUACAUAGGAUAUGAGAAGGCAGACCCGGGGAACUGAAACAUCUAAGUACCCGGAGGAAGAGAAAGCAAAUGCGAUUCCCUGAGUAGCGGCGAGCGAAACGGGAUCAGCCCAAACCAAGAGGCUUGCCUCUUGGGGUUGUAGGACACUCUGUACGGAGUUACAAAGGAACGAGGUAGAUGAAGAGGUCUGGAAAGGCCCGCCAUAGGAGGUAACAGCCCUGUAGUCAAAACUUCGUUCUCUCCUGAGUGGAUCCUGAGUACGGCGGAACACGUGAAAUUCCGUCGGAAUCCGGGAGGACCAUCUCCCAAGGCUAAAUACUCCCUAGUGACCGAUAGUGAACCAGUACCGUGAGGGAAAGGUGAAAAGCACCCCGGAAGGGGAGUGAAAGAGAUCCUGAAACCGUGUGCCUACAAGUAGUCAGAGCCCGUUAACGGGUGAUGGCGUGCCUUUUGUAGAAUGAACCGGCGAGUUACGAUCCCGUGCAAGGUUAAGCAGAAGAUGCGGAGCCGCAGCGAAAGCGAGUCUGAAUAGGGCGAAUUGAGUACGUGGUCGUAGACCCGAAACCAGGUGAUCUACCCAUGUCCAGGGUGAAGUUCAGGUAACACUGAAUGGAGGCCCGAACCCACGCACGUUGAAAAGUGCGGGGAUGAGGUGUGGGUAGGGGUGAAAUGCCAAUCGAACCUGGAGAUAGCUGGUUCUCUCCGAAAUAGCUUUAGGGCUAGCCUCAAGGUAAGAGUCUCGGAGGUAGAGCACUGAUUGGACUAGGGGCCCCUACCGGGUUACCGAAUUCAGUCAAACUCCGAAUGCCGAUGACUUAUCCUUGGGAGUCAGACUGCGAGUGAUAAGAUCCGUAGUCGAAAGGGAAACAGCCCAGACCGCCAGCUAAGGUCCCAAAGUAUACGUUAAGUGGAAAAGGAUGUGGAGUUGCUUAGACAACCAGGAUGUUGGCUUAGAAGCAGCCACCAUUUAAAGAGUGCGUAAUAGCUCACUGGUCGAGUGACUCUGCGCCGAAAAUGUACCGGGGCUAAACGUAUCACCGAAGCUGCGGACUGUUCUUCGAACAGUGGUAGGAGAGCGUUCUAAGGGCUGUGAAGCAAGACCGGAAGGACUUGUGGAGCGCUUAGAAGUGAGAAUGCCGGUAUGAGUAGCGAAAGAGGGGUGAGAAUCCCCUCCACCGAAUGCCUAAGGUUUCCUGAGGAAGGCUCGUCCGCUCAGGGUUAGUCGGGACCUAAGCCGAGGCCGAAAGGCGUAGGCGAUGGAUAACAGGUUGAUAUUCCUGUACCACCUCCUCACCAUUUGAGCAAUGGGGGGACGCAGGAGGAUAGGGUAAGCGCGGUAUUGGAUAUCCGCGUCCAAGCAGUUAGGCUGGGAAAUAGGCAAAUCCGUUUCCCGUGAAGGCUGAGCUGUGAUGGCGAGCGAAUUAUAGUAGCGAAGUUCCUGAUUCCACACUGCCAAGAAAAGCCUCUAGCGAGGUGAGAGGUGCCCGUACCGCAAACCGACACAGGUAGGCGAGGAGAGAAUCCUAAGGUGAUCGAGAGAACUCUCGUUAAGGAACUCGGCAAAAUGACCCCGUAACUUCGGGAGAAGGGGUGCUCUGUUAGGGUGCAAGCCCGAGAGAGCCGCAGUGAAUAGGCCCAGGCGACUGUUUAGCAAAAACACAGGUCUCUGCGAAGCCGUAAGGCGAAGUAUAGGGGCUGACGCCUGCCCGGUGCUGGAAGGUUAAGAGGAGCGCUUAGCGUAAGCGAAGGUGCGAAUUGAAGCCCCAGUAAACGGCGGCCGUAACUAUAACGGUCCUAAGGUAGCGAAAUUCCUUGUCGGGUAAGUUCCGACCCGCACGAAAGGCGCAACGAUCUGGGCACUGUCUCAACGAGAGACUCGGUGAAAUUAUAGUACCUGUGAAGAUGCAGGUUACCCGCGACAGGACGGAAAGACCCCGUGGAGCUUUACUGCAGCCUGAUAUUGAAUGUUGGUACAGCUUGUACAGGAUAGGUAGGAGCCUUGGAAACCGGAGCGCCAGCUUCGGUGGAGGCAUCGGUGGGAUACUACCCUGGCUGUAUUGACCUUCUAACCCGCCGCCCUUAUCGGGCGGGGAGACAGUGUCAGGUGGGCAGUUUGACUGGGGCGGUCGCCUCCUAAAAGGUAACGGAGGCGCCCAAAGGUUCCCUCAGAAUGGUUGGAAAUCAUUCGCAGAGUGUAAAGGCACAAGGGAGCUUGACUGCGAGACCUACAAGUCGAGCAGGGACGAAAGUCGGGCUUAGUGAUCCGGUGGUUCCGCAUGGAAGGGCCAUCGCUCAACGGAUAAAAGCUACCCCGGGGAUAACAGGCUUAUCUCCCCCAAGAGUCCACAUCGACGGGGAGGUUUGGCACCUCGAUGUCGGCUCAUCGCAUCCUGGGGCUGUAGUCGGUCCCAAGGGUUGGGCUGUUCGCCCAUUAAAGCGGUACGCGAGCUGGGUUCAGAACGUCGUGAGACAGUUCGGUCCCUAUCCGUCGCGGGCGCAGGAAAUUUGAGAGGAGCUGUCCUUAGUACGAGAGGACCGGGAUGGACGCACCGCUGGUGUAUCAGUUGUUCUGCCAAGGGCAUCGCUGGGUAGCUAUGUGCGGACGGGAUAAGUGCUGAAAGCAUCUAAGCAUGAAGCCCCCCUCAAGAUGAGAUUUCCCAUUCCGCAAGGAAGUAAGAUCCCUGAAAGAUGAUCAGGUUGAUAGGUCUGAGGUGGAAGUGUGGCGACACAUGGAGCUGACAGAUACUAAUCGAUCGAGGACUUAACCAAUUU
RNAcentral lists this ribosomal RNA (2934 nucleotides) under Bacillus velezensis. RNAcentral describes it as "bacterial LSU rRNA". It matches the Rfam family "Bacterial large subunit ribosomal RNA". Lineage: Bacteria; Bacillati; Bacillota; Bacilli; Caryophanales; Bacillaceae. The record is from RNAcentral.